UGUGAGGCAUGUGCCGGACAGACCAGGGCCGGCCUCGCUGGGAAGCAAGGUCUGGCCCCUUGGUGUCUGUUUUCCUGGUCCCCAGGAAGGCCCCAGAGGAUGGUAGUGAAUGUCAGCCCUGGGUCCGGGUUCUCCUACUCCAGACUCACAGGGAGUUCCGGCCCUGUGUGGUCCCUGUAAGCCCCACAUCUGUGCCGAGUGCUGUGUCUUCCGAGGAAUAUUGCUGUUGGUGUUUAUCCAGGCUUGGGAGUGAAGAUGGAAGUCAGAGGACAGCAAGGCGGAGCUGGAGCAGAGGUCCUGGGCAGCAGGGAAGGUGUGGCUCAGUCUUGGAGACGACGCCCUUUGGGGCAGACAGGAGAGACUGGGAGUCACUCCACAUGGUCCUGUGUUUUCCCCAGAGCGAACCUCAGGCCAUUUCUCCUGCAGAACUGGCAAUGUGGGGUUUAUCUGUCUGCGCGGGCAGCCUGAGGUGGGGCUCUCUCCCGGGGGACUCUCUCUAGACUCUGUUCUAGUCCUGGCUCGGCUACUUCUCAGCUGUGUGGCCUUGGGAAAGGAACCUGACCUUUCCCGGUUUCCUCCUGUGAAAUGGAGACGUGACCUCUGUAUGGUUGGGAGAUCAAAGUGAGACCUUGCUUCCAAACCACACCCUCAACUCUUAGAUGGCCAGUUAUAAAUGGUAACUGAGAUAAUCAACAGAAAGCACCCAAUAAGGGAGCUGGGAUAUGGCAACUGCUCAACAAAUGUUAAUUCCCUCCCAGGUGACUCAAAUUUCAAACACAGCUUGUUCCCAACUCCCCUCAAGUCCUUCCUCCACCCCCACCCACGACCUCACACUUGCACCAUCUGCAUUUCCUCUGUCAGGGUGUGGUACCAAGGGCUGCCCAGCCCAGAGACUGGAGCCAUCUUCUCCUUUUGCCCUAUGUCCCCUGGGUUCCCAAGUCCCAUCUAUUCUGCCCCUAGCUCAUAUCAGUCUUCCUCAGCAUUGCUGCUAACACCAUCUAAACCGUGAGGCAAAGACUUAAAGACUUCUAACUGGGCUCCAGGACUCCGUUCCCUCUCCGGCUGCAAUCUGCCUUCCACGCACCUGAUUAAAGCACAAAGCUGGGACUUCCCUGGUGGACCACUGGCUAAGACCCCGUGCUCCCAAUGCAGGGGGCCAGGGUGUUCGAUCCCUGGUCAGGGAACUAGAUUCCAUAGCAGCUUAGAGUUUGCAUGCCUCUACUAAAGAACUCAUGUGCCACAAGUAAAACCUGGUGCAGACAAGUAUAUAAAUAGGUAUUUAAAAAAUAAAACGCAAAGUCAGCAUGUCGUGCCUACGUCAACAGCUGCCCCCCGCCCCCCGACGUCUGUGGGUGAUACACAAGCACAGUAGCAUGAAGGUCUCGUGUCAGGCUUGUCGAUUUCCCAUCGUGCUUUCAGGCCUGAAGUCUUUGCCCAUACCGUUCCUCUGCCCAGCGCGUUUCCCUUCUCUCAUUCUCAUGAUUAACCCUUAUUUUUCCAUGAAGGCACAGCUCAGGUGUCACAUCCCUCAGAGAGACUUUUGUGACCUUUUCCUUCCCCUUAGCUUGGGUUAGGAGCUGCACCUCCAAGCUCUGGUGGCAAGUAACUCCCUGGCAUAGAGCACUAAAGUUGUCUCAUUAUUUGCCAUCUUUUCCUACUAGACUGUGAGCUGCAUAAGUGCAGGCUCUGUAGUUAUUCAUUAGAUAUCAAAUACAUAUUUACCAAAGCCUACUUGAUCAGCCGGAAGCAGAGUUAGGCCCUAGAGAUGCUAGGGUGAGGGGCAAAUGAGCCCCGACUGUGCACUCAGGGAUCUUAGUGUUGCAAGUGUGAGUUGCUCAGUCAUGUCCGACUCUGUGUGACCCCAUGGACUGUAGCCUGCAAGACUCCUCUGUCCAUGGGGUUCUCCAGGCAAGAAGACUAGGAUGGGUGGCCAUGCCCUCCUCCAGGGGAUCUUGCCUGACCCAGGGCUUGAACCUGGGUCUCCCACAUUGCAGGCAGACUCUCUACCAUCUGAGCCAGCAGAGAGUUGUGUUCCUUG
This is a long non-coding RNA of Cervus elaphus (red deer), 2038 nucleotides long. RefSeq lists it as uncharacterized. The transcript has 3 exons. NCBI's taxonomy places the organism in Eukaryota, Metazoa, Chordata, Mammalia, Artiodactyla, Cervidae. The record is from RefSeq and is a predicted model, not a curated record.